This 468-nucleotide ribosomal RNA is filed under the name uncultured bacterium. RNAcentral describes it as "partial 16S ribosomal RNA". It matches the Rfam family "Bacterial small subunit ribosomal RNA", at positions 28 to 507 of the family's 1533-position model. The record is from RNAcentral.
GACGAACGCUGGCGGUGUGCUUAACACAUGCAAGUCGAACGGUAAGGCCCUUUCGGGGGUACACGAGUGGCGAACGGGUGAGUAACACGUGAGUAACCUGCCCUCAUCUCUGGGAUAACAGUCGGAAACGGUUGCUAAUACUGGAUAUGAGCUUGCAAGGCAUCUUGUGGGUUGGAAAGAUUUUUUUUGGUUGGGGAUGGACUCGCGGCCUAUCAGCUUGUUGGUGAGGUAGUGGCUCACCAAGGCCUCGACGGGUAGCCGGCCUGAGAGGGCGACCGGCCACAUUGGGACUGAGAUACGGCCCAAACUCCUACGGGAGGCAGCAGUGGGGAAUAUUGCACAAUGGACGGAAGUCUGAUGCAGCAACGCCGCGUGCGGGAUGACGGCCUUCGGGUUGUAAACCGCUUUCAAUUGUGACGAAGCUUUUUUGUGACGGUAGCAGUAGAAGAAGCACCGGCUAACUACGUG